AUUGAACGCUGGCGGCAUGCUUUACACAUGCAAGUCGAACGGCAGCACGGGUGCUUGCACCUGGUGGCGAGUGGCGAACGGGUGAGUAAUGCAUCGGAACGUGCCCAUGAGUGGGGGAUAGCCCGGCGAAAGCCGGAUUAAUACCGCAUACGCCCUUAGGGGGAAAGCGGGGGAUCUUCGGACCUCGCGCUAUUGGAGCGGCCGAUGUCGGAUUAGCUAGUAGGUGAGGUAAAGGCUCACCUAGGCGACGAUCCGUAGCUGGUCUGAGAGGAUGAUCCGCCACACUGGGACUGAGACACGGCCCAGACUCCUACGGGAGGCAGCAGUGGGGAAUUUUGGACAAUGGGGGCAACCCUGAUCCAGCCAUGCCGCGUGAGUGAAGAAGGCCUGG
This 391-nucleotide ribosomal RNA is filed under the name uncultured bacterium. RNAcentral's name for it is "bacterial SSU rRNA". It matches the Rfam family "Bacterial small subunit ribosomal RNA", at positions 28 to 419 of the family's 1533-position model. The record is from RNAcentral.